RNAcentral lists this ribosomal RNA (468 nucleotides) under uncultured bacterium. Its description in RNAcentral is "partial 16S ribosomal RNA". It matches the Rfam family "Bacterial small subunit ribosomal RNA", at positions 28 to 507 of the family's 1533-position model. The record is from RNAcentral.
GACGAACGCUGGCGGCGUGCUUAACACAUGCAAGUCGAACGGAAAGGCCCUGCUUUUGUGGGGUGCUCGAGUGGCGAACGGGUGAGUAACACGUGAGUAACCUGCCCUUGACUUUGGGAUAACUUCAGGAAACUGGGGCUAAUACCGGAUAGGAGCUCCUGCUGCAUGGUGGGGGUUGGAAAGUUUCGGCGGUUGGGGAUGGACUCGCGGCUUAUCAGCUUGUUGGUGGGGUAGUGGCUUACCAAGGCUUUGACGGGUAGCCGGCCUGAGAGGGUGACCGGCCACAUUGGGACUGAGAUACGGCCCAGACUCCUACGGGAGGCAGCAGUGGGGAAUAUUGCACAAUGGGCGGAAGCCUGAUGCAGCAACGCCGCGUGCGGGAUGACGGCCUUCGGGUUGUAAACCGCUUUCGCCUGUGAUGAAGCGUGAGUGACGGUAAUGGGUAAAGAAGCACCGGCUGACUACGUG